Cannabis sativa is the source of this 983-nucleotide long non-coding RNA. RefSeq lists it as uncharacterized. The transcript is spliced from 3 exons. NCBI's taxonomy places the organism in Eukaryota, Viridiplantae, Streptophyta, Magnoliopsida, Rosales, Cannabaceae. The record is from RefSeq and is a predicted model, not a curated record.
GCCCCAGCCCAAUCUAUGUCGAUCUGUUAAGCACGAUGAGAAAAGUUGCUUCCCUUCUGAUCGUUUCAAUAGAGAACUUGAGUGUAGUGCGAACAUUCUUCUCACAUUGCUAUGGGAGCUUGAAGUGCAAAACAUAUAUGAGCCGGUACAAUUCUUCCACUUGAGAAUUGCUUUAAGGAUUUUCGUAAUUAUGUUGGGAUCGCUCAUUUUCAAUUAGUCCCAAAUUAAUGGUUAUAGAAUUUUGGCCUCUCUGAGGUCUCUCUAUCACUUGAUGGGAUGAGAAGGCCCUUCUCCCAACGAAAUCACAUGUUUGUAUAUAAUAAAAGAGACCCCUCCAAGAAAAUACUUCUCGGGAGGUUUUUAUUAUCUUGAGGCUUACUUUGACGACUAAAAAAUUGUCGUCAGACUCCCCAACAAGAAAUAAAUUAUGGACAAGUUUUUUGGAUGAGUGACUUCCACCCUAUCAACCACACUUCAUUCUGAAAAAUUCCGCUUACUGAAACCUGUUCCCACCGAAGCUAUUGAGAGGCGUCAUCAGUAACUUGUAAAUUUACCAUAUGGGAUGAGGGUUGUAGACUUCCUUUUGCAAUUGACAUAUUUAAGGAAUUAUGGUCUACUCGAGAAAGACCAAUCUACCAUGGAUGAGUUCAGGAAGUAUGCAACUUGGGAUUCAGUGCCCGCUCCCUCGAAGAAAAAGAGCAAGAUUAUGCCGCCCAACGGAAUAUAAUGACUUCUUCCGUUCAGAUCUCUAGCCCUUGAUUCCUUUCUGUAGCAGAGCAUCUGAACCUGGAUCUCUUUCUCUCCUUCCUUUAUGUUGAUUCUCCUUCUUGUUGGUUGGAUUCUUCACAAUCUUCCACGAUUGAGAUACCACUUGAUGUGUGUGGGCACCACUCUUAUUUACUAGGGUAUUUCGAAAAUUGAAGAGAAGAAAAGAGAAGAGAUGGGCGACUAUGGCUUUCUCUGAAAGGAACAAUAUGCAAGUC